RNAcentral lists this ribosomal RNA (253 nucleotides) under uncultured bacterium. RNAcentral describes it as "partial 16S ribosomal RNA". It matches the Rfam family "Bacterial small subunit ribosomal RNA", at positions 524 to 776 of the family's 1533-position model. The record is from RNAcentral.
UACGGAGGGUGCGAGCGUUGUCCGGAAUCACUGGGCGUAAAGGGCGCGUAGGCGGCGUCGGUAGUCCGUGGUGAAAGCUCGUGGCUCAACUGCGAGUCGGCCAUGGAUACUCCGAUGCUUGAGCACUGUAGAGGCAGGUGGAAUUCCGGGUGUAGCGGUGGAAUGCGUAGAUAUCGGGAGGAACACCAGUGGCGAAGGCGACUACCUGGCCUGUUCUUGACGCUGAGGCGCGAAAGCUAGGGGAGCAAACGGG